This 433-nucleotide ribosomal RNA is filed under the name uncultured bacterium. Its description in RNAcentral is "partial 16S ribosomal RNA". It matches the Rfam family "Bacterial small subunit ribosomal RNA", at positions 29 to 507 of the family's 1533-position model. The record is from RNAcentral.
AACGAACGCUGGCGGCAUGCCUAACACAUGCAAGUCGAACGAGACCUUCGGGUCUAGUGGCGCACGGGUGCGUCACGCGUGGGAACCUGCACUUAUGUUCGGAAUACCUCCCCGACUGGGGUGCUAAUACCGGAUCAUGUCUUCGGACCAAAGAUUUAUCGCCUUUGGAUGUUCCCGCGUUGGAUUAGCUAGUUGGUAGGGUAAAAGCCUACCACGGCGACGAUCCAUAGCUGGUCUGAGAGGAUGAUCAGCCACACUGGGACUGAGACGCGGCCCAGACUCCUACGGGAGGCAGCAGUGGGGAAUAUUGGACAAUGGGCGAAAGCAUGAUGCAGCUAUGCCGCGUGAGUGAUGAAGGCCGUAGGGUUGUAAAGCUCUUUUACCCGGGAUGAUAAUGACAGUACCGGGAGAAUAAGCUCCGGCUAACUCCGUG